GCCUGGCUGGCUCAGUCAGUAGAGCAUGUGAUUCUUGAUCUCAGGUUGUGAGUUCAACCCCUAUGUUGGGUA
Molecule: transfer RNA, 72 nt
Filed under: Canis lupus familiaris (dog)
Lineage: Eukaryota; Metazoa; Chordata; Mammalia; Carnivora; Canidae
Also listed under: 2 other names
Rfam family: tRNA
About the family: Transfer RNA (tRNA) molecules are approximately 80 nucleotides in length. Their secondary structure includes four short double-helical elements and three loops (D, anti-codon, and T loops).
Source: Rfam by way of RNAcentral